GAUGAACGCUGGCGGCGUGCCUAAUACAUGCAAGUCGAGCGAACGGACGAGAAGCUUGCUUUUCUGAUGUUAGCGACGGACGGGGGAGUAAAACGUGGAUAACCUACCUAUAAGACUGGGAUAACUUCGGGAAACCGGAGCUAAUACCGGAUAAUAUUUUGAACCGCAUGGUUCAAAAGUGAAAGACGGUCUUGCUGUCACUUAUAGAUGGAUCCGCGCUGCAUUAGCUAGUUGGUAAGGUAACGGCUUACCAAGGCAACGAUGCAUAGCCGACCUGAGAGGGUGAUCGGCCACACUGGAACUGAGACACGGUCCAGACUCCUACGGGAGGCAGCAGUAGGGAAUCUUCCGCAAUGGGCGAAAGCCUGACGGAGCAACGCCGCGUGAGUGAUGAAGGUCUUCGGAUCGUAAAACUCUGUUAUUAGGGAAGAACAUAUGUGUAAGUAACUGUGCACAUCUUGACGGUACCUAAUCAGAAAGCCACGGCUAACUACGUG
RNAcentral lists this ribosomal RNA (497 nucleotides) under uncultured bacterium. RNAcentral's name for it is "partial 16S ribosomal RNA". It matches the Rfam family "Bacterial small subunit ribosomal RNA", at positions 28 to 507 of the family's 1533-position model. The record is from RNAcentral.